This 253-nucleotide ribosomal RNA is filed under the name uncultured bacterium. RNAcentral describes it as "partial 16S ribosomal RNA". It matches the Rfam family "Bacterial small subunit ribosomal RNA", at positions 524 to 776 of the family's 1533-position model. The record is from RNAcentral.
UACAGAGGUCCCAAGCGUUACUCGGAAUUACUGGGCGUAAAGCGUGCGUAGGUGGUUCGUUAAGUCUGUCGUGAAAGCCCCGGGCUCAACCUGGGAAUGGCGAUGGAUACUGGCGGGCUAGAGUGCGGUAGAGGAGAGUGGAAUUCCCGGUGUAGCAGUGAAAUGCGUAGAGAUCGGGAGGAACAUCAGUUGCGAAGGCGGCUCUCUGGACCAGCACUGACACUGAGGCACGAAAGCGUGGGGAGCAAACAGG